CUAAGAAUAUUCCGCAAUGGACGAAAGUCUGACGGAGCGACGCCGCGUGGAUGACGAAGGCCGAAAGGUUGUAAAAUCCUUUUGCUGGUGAAGAAUAAGCGCUUCAGGAAAUGGGAGCGUGAUGACAUGAACCGGUGAAUAAGCCCCGGCAAACUACGUGCCAGCAGCCGCGGUAACACGUAGGGGGCAAGCGUUGUUCGGAAUUAUUGGGCGUAAAGGGCAUGUAGGCGGUCUUGUAAGCCUGGCGUGAAAUGGUUCGGCUUAACCGAAUCCUGCGUUGGGAACUGCGAGGCUAGAAUCACUGAGGGGGAAUCAGAAUUCCAGGUGUAGGGGUGAAAUCUGUAGAUAUCUGGAAGAAUACCAGUGGCGAAGGCGGAUUCCUGGCAGAUGAUUGACGCUGAGGUGCGAAAGCGUGGGGAGCAAACAGG
This 428-nucleotide ribosomal RNA is filed under the name uncultured Treponema sp. Its description in RNAcentral is "bacterial SSU rRNA". It matches the Rfam family "Bacterial small subunit ribosomal RNA", at positions 355 to 776 of the family's 1533-position model. Lineage: Bacteria; Pseudomonadati; Spirochaetota; Spirochaetia; Treponematales; Treponemataceae. The record is from RNAcentral.